GGAAAAGGAAGUGCGAAUAAGCAGGGGUCACAUGAGAGUCUCCCGGCCUCUAGAGGGGAGCAUCCAAAAACAUGGCCCCAGGAUUAGGGGGAUGUUCUGUCAUGUCUAGACAACAGGACACAAAAGGCUUCACCCAUGUGGCUGAACACUGAAGCUCAGGAUUUCACAUCCUCCUCCCUGACACACACGUCCUGCCAGGUCACCCAGAGUCCUUGCCACCUGCCCUGAACCAGGUCUGAUUAGCAUGGUGUCAUCAAUAUGGCCGGCACUACACUGGCAAGACCACUGGUGUCCCUUUAGACACUGCCCAUUUAGACCUUGUCCACUAUGGGCUAUAACAACAAAUAGGAGUUAACACUAGCAAAGAAACCAUGGGCAUCAUGGCCACAUUUAGUGGCUGUCAAUCAGCUGGUGACAAACUUGCCAUCCGUCACAUGAUUCAUAUAGAGCCACAUAUCCUUGCUGUGUCUGAAGAAACUGGUCGCCAUAGUACCAUCCAGGUGAGGUGCGGCCUCCACUUCUCUCUCCAGCUCAGUGGCUUCCCCUUGGCUGUCCUUCCUCACUGCUGCCUACUCCAUGGGUCAGAGACCCAACAGCCUUGUCUGUCAGCUCUGAAGUAUCCCCACCCCAAUCUGUACCUAGGGAGGGAUUAGUGCCCACAGGGUGAGCCUGCAGCUCCACCUGACCUACUGUGGG
Long non-coding RNA from Heterocephalus glaber (naked mole-rat), 696 nucleotides. The record is from Ensembl. Lineage: Eukaryota; Metazoa; Chordata; Mammalia; Rodentia; Bathyergidae.